AACUGAAAAAGGCAAACUUACCUGAAAAGGAAGGACGCAAAGCCAUGAGCCUACCCACUGCUUAAUCAGUGCACGGUCGUCAGGUUGCCAGG
RNAcentral lists this non-coding RNA (92 nucleotides) under Planococcus rifietoensis. RNAcentral describes it as "c-di-GMP sequence". It matches the Rfam family "c-di-GMP-I riboswitch aptamer". Rfam says of the family: GEMM was predicted in a large-scale screen for bacterial structured RNA regulatory elements. Genes associated with GEMM are involved in a diverse array of functions, including chemotaxis regulation, signal transduction, secretion and chitin. Lineage: Bacteria; Bacillati; Bacillota; Bacilli; Caryophanales; Caryophanaceae. The record is from Rfam by way of RNAcentral.